RNAcentral lists this ribosomal RNA (231 nucleotides) under uncultured bacterium. RNAcentral describes it as "partial 16S ribosomal RNA". It matches the Rfam family "Bacterial small subunit ribosomal RNA", at positions 99 to 334 of the family's 1533-position model. The record is from RNAcentral.
CGGACGGGUGAGUAAUGUCUGGGAAACUGCCCGAUGGAGGGGGAUAACUACUGGAAACGGUAGCUAAUACCGCAUAACGUCGCAAGACCAAAGAGGGGACCUUAGGGCCUCCUGCCAUCGGAUGUGCCCAGAUGGGAUUAGCUAGUAGGUGGGGUAAUGGCUCACCUAGGCGACGAUCCCUAGCUGGUCUGAGAGGAUGACCAGCCACACUGGAACUGAGACACGGUCCAG